Molecule: long non-coding RNA, 199 nt
Organism: Oreochromis niloticus (Nile tilapia)
Lineage: Eukaryota; Metazoa; Chordata; Actinopteri; Cichliformes; Cichlidae
Exons: 3
Source: RefSeq, a predicted model, not a curated record
AUCCCAAAUGACGUCUAAACAAGCAGGCCAAACAAAUGAAACCUCAGCCUCAGAGUCAACAACUGUCACACUUUCAACUCCUCAUACCUCCACUCCUGACACUAAAUCAUCCCAAAUGACGUCUAAACAAGCAGGCCAAACAAAUGAAACCUCAGCCUCAGAGUCAACAACUGUCACACUUUCAACUCCUCAUACCUCA